UUUUGUCUAAAGCGACAUAUGACAAAUGGAUGCUGUUCUCUCCCAGCCCAUUUGAUAUCUUUGACAUUGGCUGAUCUUUGGUUUAUUGGAAAGGACAGACCCGGACACGUCUAAAUUACACACAGUGGCGCUACGUCUGGAGUAAAAACCAAUCGUUCACUUGAAUAAAAACUACGGAGGAUGAGAGAGAACGAAAUGCAACUGCAUUAUAAAAGAUUGUGGAAGGUAAGAGAACCAGAAAACAUCAAGAAAUGUUAUAAAUAAGAGUCUUCUGCUAAAAAAAACGUUUUUAUUUUAUACAAAUCACCCAUUCACGUGAUGUUAAAUGAAUCUGUAUUGAUUAUUCAUAGACUUAUGGAAGGUAAAUAGUUCACAACCUA
Molecule: long non-coding RNA, 380 nt
Organism: Leptinotarsa decemlineata (Colorado potato beetle)
Lineage: Eukaryota; Metazoa; Arthropoda; Insecta; Coleoptera; Chrysomelidae
Source: RefSeq, a predicted model, not a curated record